RNAcentral lists this ribosomal RNA (200 nucleotides) under uncultured Entrophospora. Its description in RNAcentral is "uncultured Claroideoglomus partial small subunit ribosomal RNA". It matches the Rfam family "Eukaryotic small subunit ribosomal RNA", at positions 591 to 789 of the family's 1831-position model. The record is from RNAcentral. Lineage: Eukaryota; Fungi; Glomeromycota; Glomeromycetes; Entrophosporales; Entrophosporaceae.
CCAAUAGCGUAUAUUAAAGUUGUUGCAGUUAAAAAGCUCGUAGUUGAAUUUCGGGAUUGACGCGACGGUCGUGCCUUAAGGGGCGUGAACUGUCGCCGUUGAUUUCUCACCUUCUGGAGAAGCUCGAUGUCCUUAAUUGGAUGUCUUGUGGAACCAGGACCUUUACCUUGAAAAAAUUAGAGUGUUUAAAGCAGGCAUUU